RNAcentral lists this ribosomal RNA (491 nucleotides) under uncultured bacterium. RNAcentral's name for it is "partial 16S ribosomal RNA". It matches the Rfam family "Bacterial small subunit ribosomal RNA", at positions 29 to 507 of the family's 1533-position model. The record is from RNAcentral.
AGUGAACGCUGGCGGUAGGCCUAACACAUGCAAGUCGAACGGCAGCACAGUAAGAGCUUGCUCUUACGGGUGGCGAGUGGCGGACGGGUGAGGAAUACAUCGGAAUCUACUUUUUCGUGGGGGAUACGUAGGGAAACUUACGCUAAUACCGCAUACGACCUACGGGUGAAAGCAGGGGAUCUUCGGACCUUGCGCGAUUGAAUGAGCCGAUGUCGGAUUAGCUAGUUGGCGGGGUAAAGGCCCACCAAGGCGACGAUCCGUAGCUGGUCUGAGAGGAUGAUCAGCCACACUGGAACUGAGACACGGUCCAGACUCCUACGGGAGGCAGCAGUGGGGAAUAUUGGACAAUGGGCGCAAGCCUGAUCCAGCCAUACCGCGUGGGUGAAGAAGGCCUUCGGGUUGUAAAGCCCUUUUGUUGGGAAAGAAAAGCAGCAGGUUAAUACCCCGCUGUUCUGACGGUACCCAAAGAAUAAGCACCGGCCAACUUCGUG